This 440-nucleotide ribosomal RNA is filed under the name uncultured bacterium. Its description in RNAcentral is "partial 16S ribosomal RNA". It matches the Rfam family "Bacterial small subunit ribosomal RNA", at positions 338 to 795 of the family's 1533-position model. The record is from RNAcentral.
CCUACGGGAGGCAGCAGUGGGGAAUAUUGCACAAUGGGGGAAACCCUGAUGCAGCGACGCCGCGUGAGUGAAGACGUACUUCGUUAUGUAAAGCUCUAUCUGUAGGGAAAAAAAUGACGGUACCUGAGUAAGAAGCCCCGGCGAAAUACGUUCCAGCAGCCGCGGUAAUACGGAGGAGGCAAGCGUUAUCCGGAUUUACUGGGGGUAAAGGGAGAGUAGACGGUAGUGCAGGUCUGUAGUGAAAGGCGGCGGCUCAACCCCCGGAUUGCGCUGGAGACUGUACGGCUGGAGUGCAGGAGAGGUAAGGGGAAUUCGUGGUGUAGCGGUGAAAUGCGUAGAUAUCAGGAGGAACACCAGUGGCGAAGGCAGCUUACUGGACUGUAACUGACGUUGAGGCUCGAAAGCGUGGGGAGCAAACAGGAUUAGAUACCCUAGUAGUC